This 403-nucleotide ribosomal RNA is filed under the name bacterium. Its description in RNAcentral is "partial 16S ribosomal RNA". It matches the Rfam family "Bacterial small subunit ribosomal RNA", at positions 355 to 776 of the family's 1533-position model. RNAcentral also lists the same sequence under 1 other name. The record is from RNAcentral.
UGGGGAAUAUUGCACAAUGGAGGGAACUCUGAUGCAGCGACGCCGCGUGAACGAAGAAGGCUUCCGAGUCGUAAAGUUCUUUUAUAUGGGAAGAUAAUGACGGUACCAUAAGAAAAAGCCCCGGCUAACUACGUGCCAGCAGCCGCGGUAAUACGUAGGGGGCUAGCGUUGUCCGGAAUCACUGGGCGUAAAGGGUUCGCAGGCGGAAAUGCAAGUCAGGUGUAAAAGGCAGUAGCUUAACUACUGUAAGCAUUUGAAACUGCAUAUCUUGAGAAGAGUAGAGGUAAGUGGAAUUUUUAGUGUAGCGGUGAAAUGCGUAGAUAUUAAAAAGAAUACCGGUGGCGAAGGCGACUUACUGGGCUCAUUCUGACGCUGAGGAACGAAAGCGUGGGUAGCAAACAGG